RNAcentral lists this long non-coding RNA (223 nucleotides) under Lathyrus oleraceus (garden pea). RNAcentral's name for it is "Pisum sativum (pea) long non-coding RNA (PSAT_LNC032458)". Lineage: Eukaryota; Viridiplantae; Streptophyta; Magnoliopsida; Fabales; Fabaceae. The record is from RNAcentral.
AAGAAAAACCGAGCAAGCAUAAAAAAAAAUAUAUGUAUAGAAAAUAUAGAAAAGAAACAUCUGUUUUGUAUAUUUGAUGUGAAAGAAAGACAAAAUAGAAGAAAUGAAAAUGAAAUGCUUGCUUGGAAGAAAAAUAGUGAAAAAAAAAUUGAGUUGUGGAAUAUGUGUUGUGAAGGUUUCAAAUAAGAAACAAAUGAAACAAAGUCGAGAUGUGUGAUUAAUA